UUACAUUUUUUAACUGUUACUCUUCUUUGAUGUUUGCAUUUUAGAGGAUGGCUUGAAUUCUCAUGCCUAAUGAUAAAAUCGUUAAAU
RNAcentral lists this small RNA (87 nucleotides) under Arabidopsis thaliana (thale cress). RNAcentral's name for it is "ATSL148420". The record is from RNAcentral. Lineage: Eukaryota; Viridiplantae; Streptophyta; Magnoliopsida; Brassicales; Brassicaceae.